Molecule: non-coding RNA, 22 nt
Filed under: Arabidopsis thaliana (thale cress)
Lineage: Eukaryota; Viridiplantae; Streptophyta; Magnoliopsida; Brassicales; Brassicaceae
Source: RNAcentral
CCUCUAGGUCAUCCAGCUCUGC